This 2157-nucleotide long non-coding RNA is filed under the name Ananas comosus (pineapple). RNAcentral's name for it is "long non-coding RNA (ACOM_LNC021402)". Lineage: Eukaryota; Viridiplantae; Streptophyta; Magnoliopsida; Poales; Bromeliaceae. The record is from RNAcentral.
UGCCACUACAUGCUGCUAAGCGUCACUGGUGGAUUGUGAGACUCGUGAGAAUUAUCUAGAUGAUCGAUAAUUCUCAUUGGGCUGAGUUGGAAUUGUUCCGAUCCACUGAAAGGAGUUUCAGUGAUAUUGUUGAUAGUGAUCAAAAUAUAUCUCACUACCAGAUAGAAUAGAACCUAUGGGGUCAUACACAUAAGAGGUUGUGAUUGAUCGGAUAGCUAGAUCGCGAUUAUUGAAUCGCCGGAGGACCUAAUUGUCAAUAUGUUGAUAAUUGGACUAAUUUGUAAUUGUUACAAAUUAGUGGUAUUAAAGUGUAAAUGUUACAAGAGAGGACUUACUAAUAGUUAGUGUGGACGUUUUGUGGAUUAGGGACAUUGCGUUCGUGGAUUCGAACGUGGGCGUGGACUAGCCGUUGGUGUGCGCGAGAUCUAAAGAAGAUAAAAAAAGAGGUUUGAGUACGUGGAUUAGUAAUCACCUUAUCAUCUUUUUUACUCUUAGUGGAUUGUUAUCGCGUAUUGGUCCCGUGAGUCAGUAAUCACUUUGUUAUCUUUUAUUUGUUGCAUCGAGUUGGUUAUUUUUAUUGUUUACACCUAUUCAUCCCCCUCUAAAUGAUUGAUAGUAUCUAGAUAGAUCCUUGGGAUCCCCAUAACUAACAAUUCUAAUAGAACAAUUUCUUAAUCUUUUAGGUAUCUUUUGGUUCGGGGAUAAGCAAAAAGCGGCUAUUCCAGGAAUAGGUAUAAAUUGAGGUAUAAGCAGGGAUUAAAUCAAUUUUGCGUUUGGAUGAAAAUUGGGUUAUUCCUGGGAAUAAAAAAAAUAGCGUUUGGUUAGGUAAGAUGGAAUAAGAAGAAUAGUGGGUUUUUAUAAAUAAAAAAUAACGCAUUACCCUUUUAUUAUAUUUGAAUUCGAAUUUUUAAAAUUUUAAAUUUAUAUUUUUUAAUUUAAAAUUUUAACUUUAGCAAUUUAAAUUAUUUAAAUUUAUAAUCUUUUAUAUUUCAAAACUUUAAUUUUAUUAUCAAAUUUAAAUUUGAAAUAUAUUAAAUUAUAUUAAAUUUUAUAUUUAAAUUUUAUACUUUAAUUUUGAGAUUAUAAAUUAUAAAUUUUAAAAAUUUAAAUUUUUAAUUUUUAAAAUUUUAAAAUAAGAAUAGGGAUGGGAACAAUUAAUAAAAACUAUUUAUUAUAAUAAAUUUAUAAUUUUUUUAAAAUUCUAAUUAAACUUAAAUUUAAUAAAAAAUUUAUUAUAAUAUUUAAAUAUAAAUAAUAUAUAUUAAUAUAGUACAAUUAAUAAUUUUAUAAUAAAAAUAAUGUAUUAUAAUAUAUAACAUAUUAUAUUUAUAAUUUUGUUUUAAUUCAAUUUAUAAUUUUAAUUAAGUAUGAAAUUAAGCAUUGGAAUAGUACUAUUCCCCCAAAAUGGUGGAAUAGCAAAUCCCUUACUAUUCCGGAAUAACUGGGAAUAGCAAGGUUUGACCGGAAUAAAAUAUCCCGGUGAAACAUCAGCCCGUUUGGCGGAAUAGCGNAAUAGCGGAAAAGGGUUUCCGAUAUUAGAAACUCGAGUCGAAUAAAUUUAACAUAUGACAAACGAUGGGGUUUGACGAGUUAUUCCAUAACCUCCGCCUAGUCGGGACUCAUGAUAGAAGGAUUGUAUCAACGGUAACUGCACAAGGAGGUUCAGUAUUCCAUUCUACUGGAAUGCCACUACAUGCUGCUAAGCGUCACUGGUGGAUUGUGAGACUCGUGAGAAUUAUCUAGAUGAUCGAUAAUUCUCAUUGGGCUGAGUUGGAAUUGUUCCGAUCCACUGAAAGGAGUUUCAGUGAUAUUGUUGAUAGUGAUCAAAAUAUAUCUCACUACCAGAUAGAAUAGAACCUAUGGGGUCAUACACAUAAGAGGUUGUGAUUGAUCGGAUAGCUAGAUCGCGAUUAUUGAAUCGCCGGAGGACCUAAUUGUCAAUAUGUUGAUAAUUGGACUAAUUUGUAAUUGUUACAAAUUAGUGGUAUUAAAGUGUAAAUGUUACAAGAGAGGACUUACUAAUAGUUAGUGUGGACGUUUUGUGGAUUAGGGACAUUGCGUUCGUGGAUUCGAACGUGGGCGUGGACUAGCCGUUGGUGUGCGCGAGAUCUAAAGAAGAUAAAAAAAGAGGUUUGAGUACGUGGAUUAGUAAUCACC